AGGAGCCGUAUGAGAUGAAAAUCUCAUGUACGGUUCUGAAACGGAGAUUCAUUGAAUCGAAUGACGACCGUAAC
Amborella trichopoda is the source of this 74-nucleotide non-coding RNA. NCBI's taxonomy places the organism in Eukaryota, Viridiplantae, Streptophyta, Magnoliopsida, Amborellales, Amborellaceae. The record is from Rfam.